RNAcentral lists this non-coding RNA (1191 nucleotides) under Pan troglodytes (chimpanzee). Lineage: Eukaryota; Metazoa; Chordata; Mammalia; Primates; Hominidae. The record is from RNAcentral.
GGGACUGGUGGCUGCGGUAGCUCAUUGGCCUUUGGUCUCUUAGACGGUGGAGAAUAAUCAUCAUCUUGAAAAAGAAAAUGGUCAUUACUGGAAGAACCGUCUUACAGUUACAGUCACCUCCUGGUCAAUUCCCAACAUUCAAAAGCUAAAGAAACAGGCUCAGAGGAUGUUAUCUGAUUGGAUUAUGUUGUAUCUCUGGAGAGCACAGCUGAGAUCAGACUGUGUGUGUGUAACUCCACUAGACUACGAGGGUGCUUCUCAUAAAGGGUUGCAAGAUCAUAGUUCUCGGGGUGUUUAAAGGCAACACCUUCCGGAAGCCCCUGCACUACCACAGCCGACUGGUCUCGCAGCAUCUUCUCAUAUGGUACAGGUACCACUGUGGAUUUGCCUAAAGCUUUCCCUGGGGGAGAUGAAAAGCGGAUGAACAUCAUUCAAUGAAUGGUAAGAUUACAAAAUGAAAUCAUCGCUAGCUUAUUGUGGCUUAAUAAGGGCAUCCACGAUUUUUUAUAAUAUAUGAUUUCAAAAUUAAUUAAUACUACAGCAUUCUAUCUCCCCAUGUCAGCAGAAGGUCUAAACCUGAAACUGAUCCAAAGGGCCAAAAUGAAAAGUAGAUAAAAUAUUUUACUUUAAAAAACACACAGAGAGAGCAAUGGUUGGUUUCUUGCACUAUUGUCUUUCUUGAAGAUGGUCCCAUCCUGGCAUAUUCUCAGGUACAAUUUGGCCUCAGAAUACAGAAGCCCAGCACAUCCAACUAUUACCAUAAAAUACCAGGAAUGUUUCAGCUAAUAUUCUCAUUGAAAACUUAUCAGGUAAAUACAAACUUCCCAUUUACAAAUGAGUAUAUACUGUCAACCUAUUGGGCAGCGAGCCUCACACAUACUGAAAAUCCCAUUCCAGAGAACUGAUUUUCACCUAUGACCCUGCAGUAAAACCUCAAUCUCCUCCUUUGACUGUUUUCUUGUAAGAGCUUUGUUUUAUGAUGUGACAAGAGUAAGAAAAGGUGGCUUUGCAUGGAAUUAGAGAGAUGAGCAUGCUUAUUAGAAAGAAACAGCUAGGCCAGGCAUGGUGGCUCACACCUGUAAUCCCAGCACUUUGGGAGGCCAAGGUGGGUGGAUCACCUGAGAUCAGGAGUUCGAGACCAGCCUGGCGAAUGUGGUGAAACCCCAUCUCUACUAAAAUUUAACACAAAAA